UACGUAGGGGGCAAGCGUUGUCCGGAUUUAUUGGGCGUAAAGAGCGUGUAGGCGGCCAGAUAGGUCAGCUGUGAAAACUCGAGGCUCAACCUCGAGAUGUCGGCUGAAACCAUCUGGCUAGAGUCCGGAAGAGGAGAAUGGAAUUCCCGGUGUAGCGGUGAAAUGCGCAGAUAUCGGGAGGAACACCAAUGGCGAAGGCAGCUCGCUGGGACGUUACUGACGCUGAGACGCGAAAGCGUGGGGAGCAAACAGG
This 253-nucleotide ribosomal RNA is filed under the name uncultured bacterium. RNAcentral describes it as "partial 16S ribosomal RNA". It matches the Rfam family "Bacterial small subunit ribosomal RNA", at positions 524 to 776 of the family's 1533-position model. The record is from RNAcentral.